GAAUAUUGGACAAUGGGGGCAACCCUGAUCCAGCCAUGCCGCGUGUGUGAAGAAGGCCUUCGGGUUGUAAAGCACUUUCAGCAGGGAGGCAAAGUUGGUGGUUAAUACCUGCCGACCGUGACGUUACCUGCCGAAGAAGCACCGGCCAACUCCGUGCCAGCCGCCGCGGUAAUACGGAGGGUGCGAGCGUUAAUCGGAAUUACUGGGCGUAAAGCGCACGUAGGCGGCUUGUUAAGCCGGAUGUGAAAUCCCCGGGCUCAACAUGGGAACUACACCCGGAACUGGCAAGCUAGAGUACGGUAGAGGUGAGUGGAAUUUCCUGUGUAGCGGUGAAAUGCGUAGAUAUAGGAAGGAACAUCAGUGGCGAAGGCGGCUCACUGGACUGAUACUGACGCUGAGGUGCGAAAGCGUGGGGAGCAAACAGG
Molecule: ribosomal RNA, 425 nt
Filed under: uncultured bacterium
Lineage: Bacteria
Description: bacterial SSU rRNA
Rfam family: Bacterial small subunit ribosomal RNA
Source: RNAcentral